AUUGCUGUGUGACAAUUAACGUAUCUGUUAUAGGUUAUAUUAUCUAUUUAAUAUAAAAAUAAAAUUAUCAUUCGAUUAAGUGGAUUAAGUUCAAUACGUUUGUCAACGAGUGAACGUAGCUGCAUUAAAGACAUCGACUGUGAAAUUACCGUUCUUAAUUUUAAUGAUGGUAAAAGUUGAAUGGAUCUGCAUUGUACCAGGCUGUAAAUCAAAUUCAAGGACUCCUAAUCAUUUUUUCCCAAAAAGUCCAAUAUUAUCAAAAAAGUGGAAAGAAGCUGUGAAUAAUAGUAUAAUUUUAAAUAUCUUAUCAGAAGAAUUAAGAAAAUAUAGAGUAUGUCACUUGCAUUUUUUACCUGAAGAUUAUAUUUAUACUCAAAAUCGUCGAAGACUGAAACAUAAUGCAGUACCUAGUAUAAAUAUAUAUAAUAUGCAGUUAUUACAGACAGUACAGAAAUAAAUGAUGCAAAUAGAGAGACAAAUGAUGCAAAUACAGAAAUAAAUGAUACAACUGACAUACAGUUGCAUUCACAAUCUGAAACAAAUACUGAAUUACAUUUACAAUCUCAAAUCAGUAAUA
This is a long non-coding RNA of Solenopsis invicta (red fire ant), 577 nucleotides long. RefSeq lists it as uncharacterized. NCBI's taxonomy places the organism in Eukaryota, Metazoa, Arthropoda, Insecta, Hymenoptera, Formicidae. The transcript has 2 exons. The record is from RefSeq and is a predicted model, not a curated record.